AUUGAACGCUGGCGGCAGGCUUAACACAUGCAAGUCGAGCGGGGUGAUGGUGCUUGCACUAUCACUUAGCGGCGGACGGGUGAGUAAUGCUUAGGAAUCUGCCUAUUAGUGGGGGACGACAUCUCGAAAGGGAUGCUAAUACCGCAUACGUCCUACGGGAGAAAGCAGGGGAUCACUUGUGACCUUGCGCUAAUAGAUGAGCCUAAGUCGGAUUAGCUAGUUGGUGGGGUAAAGGCCUACCAAGGCGACGAUCUGUAGCGGGUCCGAGAGGAUGAUCCGCCACACUGGGACUGAGACACGGCCCAGACUCCUACGGGAGGCAGCAGUGGGGAAUAUUGGACAAUGGGGGGAACCCUGAUCCAGCCAUGCCGCGUGUGUGAAGAAGGCCUUAUGGUUGUAAAGCACUUCAAGCGAGGAGGAGGCUCUUUUGGUUAAUACCCAAGAUGAGUGGACGUUACUCGCAGAAUAAGCACCGGCUAACUCUGUGCCAGCAGCCGCGGUAA
RNAcentral lists this ribosomal RNA (503 nucleotides) under uncultured bacterium. Its description in RNAcentral is "partial 16S ribosomal RNA". It matches the Rfam family "Bacterial small subunit ribosomal RNA", at positions 30 to 523 of the family's 1533-position model. The record is from RNAcentral.